Molecule: non-coding RNA, 2656 nt
Organism: Phalacrocorax carbo (great cormorant)
Lineage: Eukaryota; Metazoa; Chordata; Aves; Suliformes; Phalacrocoracidae
Source: RefSeq, a predicted model, not a curated record
GCUAGAUUUGAAAGCACCCCGUUGGCUAUGCUGUUGCCAAGAUCUUUAAGAUAAUGUGGGGGGUGAUAUUUGCAGGCGAAUGCACAUGGAAACAAAUGGAGAUUUCAUCACCCCUCUAUACUUUGCCCUCGGUUUUACUCAGAAAAACAGCUGGAAGUUAGUUUGUGUUUACUUGGUAGUUGUGCCACAUGGACUCUGACUGGACUAUUCCUCUUGCAGCUACUCAAUAACUCAACUUUUUAAUAUCUCUCCUCAAAACGUCUAUCUGGAAAAAGUACUUAAGGCAGUAAGGGUUCAAAGCGUGUGUGUUUUGUUCUGCCCCAGGUUGCUUGCUCUUUUUUUUUCUUACACAAGAGCAUAAAAAUGGCCAUAUGAUCAAGGGUCCAACUCUCCCAAUAGCCUCUCUUCAGCAACGAUCAUAAGUGGUCACCAAAGGAAGAGUAUGAAUAAGGAAGACACAGUGAUAAUUCUCCCAACUACUCUCCCAGUCUCCAGCUGCUUUGGUUUUGGAGCAUUUCCUCGGCAGAAUGUGGUUUCUGUGCACUUGUAGCUCGCAGUGAAUUUCUAUACCAGGUUCAACUGGCUCCACCAGCCUUCUCAUGGUGCCUCCUAACUCUACUGCAGGAAAAGACAUCAGAGAACUGACCCAUAUCCACACUCUUGCUGCCUUAUCAUAUCCUGCCCAGCUUGCCUUUUCCCAUCAAAAUAUGAGGAUGACUGUGAAUAGGAAAAAAAAAAAGCACUUAAAGGAUGUGUAUGCACAAAGUAUGGAGACACACAGGUGAAAGAAAUUUGACUGUUCGCUCUGAACCAGCAAAGCUAAGAAUAGCUUUAACUUUGCAAGUAACUGCCACCGAAGUAAAUGGUAAUAUUUCUAUUGGAGUGCUGUAAGGCUUGUUCCCAUGAGAUGAGUCAAAACUUCUAAAAGCCUCUGCUUCAAAUGAAAGAAAAUCUGGUCCCAGAUGUCACUAAUUGGGAACAGGUUAGCAGAGAGAUUUAAACAGAGAUGCCUGAAGUUACAAUUCAUCAUGUGGGAUCUAACAACAGCCUAUUUCACUAGGCUCUUUCAUUUAGUUUGUAUGAUAAUAAGCUUUAACUAGUACCACGCAAAACACAGAGGAUACAUUCAAGCAGGAAAAUUGCAUUAAUACAGGUCUUUCUAAAUGCUAUUAGUGUUUGCAAUAUACCAUGUACCAUGUAAACAUCUCCUUUCUAUCCAUAGGUUUGGCAUAUGCACAGACUGAAAAAGAAAUCCAUUCAUCAAAGUAUUUUGUUUCUCAUAUCAAGUGACCUGUUUCUUAACUUCUGACAUUUAAGAAGUAAAUUUAAAUUGAAAGAGUUAAAUGUCUUUCAGCAGAUCAUUAAAGAACAUUUUUAAAUUAAUUUUCUGUAAUAAACAAGAUAUUUGGAGAGGAAAGAAGGAGUAGAGGGAAUUGUGGUUAGUUAUGAUGUAGCAUUGGUUUUGCUGCUGGAAUCAGCAAGAAUUUUGCCAUUAAUUUCAAGGGUAGAAGGAUCAAGCUAACUACAUUACAGUCGCAUUAAACAAAUCAACGGAAAUACGUAUUGCCCACAGGGUUAAAAUAGGCCAUACUUAAUUUGAAAUCUAGUCUUUAAAAAAAUAAAAAGAUCUAAUUACAAAUAAUCAAGAGAGUUUGUACAUUUACAUGCAAGCUUGGUCCAAAGACCUCUGAAGUCAACUAACCAUUCUCAACACAUUUUAACUAGUUGAAAUUGCCUGAUACAGCUUACUAUCUGCUAAUUAUUUGAGUAAGAUACUGGCACUUCUGCUCAGUUAAAAAUGUUGAAUUAGUAUUUAUAAGACUUUUUCCUAUAGUACCGUGUAACAAUGUACUUGAACAUAUAAAUUCUGGCAUGCCCCAAAUGACAGUAUUUUGUGAACCUGAUUAUUCAUUGUCCUGUGCCUCAUGUUAAUCAUUAUCACUGGUGCUAAUGUGAGUAAGGCAGAAUGAUGGUGGGAUUUUUCUUUCACUGUCUUUGCUUUGUCUCAAAUGACUAUAUAAGCAUCUGGGCAAGUUAGGUCCACUGAAUUUCUCGGGCAAAAUUCUCCUUACUUCAUAGGAAAUAGGAUCCAAUCCAAGUUAUGUGAAACAUUUUAUGUUGUGGAGAUGACUUUAGAUGUAGUCUGUCCUUCAAAUAAAGUGGUUGGUAUGUACAUGUAUACUAAUUAACCAUAUAUUUAUUAUUUCAGGAUGUCAUUUAUUCAUGUGUAAUUUCUUUUUAGUCUUAAUUUCAUGGUCUUGUGAAUCUUAAGAUCUGCAUUUGAAUACUGCAGUUGAGGUACACUGGUUCUGAAAAGAAAGGUUUUAAACAGCGAGAGCCCACUUCCCAUUUUUUAUUGCUGGAUCCAUAGGUCAUUAUAAUUAUUCUGAUAUGCAACACUAGAGAGUCUGGCUCCCUUUCCUGUUAUAGUAAUCUUUGCUCUCACUGACAUACUGUGAUGUACUGUGGGAGCCAGACAACCACUGGGCAUUGAGGAAGGUGUAUCCCCUUUGGAAGUCUUGGCUCAGGAGAAGCAGAGAUGGAACUUAAAAUUGCAUUUCAACAAAAAUUGAGUUUUUCACUUAAAAGAAAAUUGUUGUAAAUUUUUCACGUAGUGCAACUGGCAGCUGCACCUGAAUUCUAUCAGGGAUUCAUC